This 2533-nucleotide long non-coding RNA is filed under the name Mus musculus (house mouse). RNAcentral's name for it is "long non-coding RNA chr10:6851701-6854234". Lineage: Eukaryota; Metazoa; Chordata; Mammalia; Rodentia; Muridae. The record is from RNAcentral.
UUUUUUUUUUUUUUUUUUGCUGCUUCUGUGGAAUGUCCCACUCCUCGUAUGAAUUAAAUGAUGUGUGGCUGAAAGCAAUUUGGCCUUGAUGUAGGAGUUGGACCAAAUUUGUUUUGUUUUGUUUUCUACAAAUGUUAUAUAUGUACUAGUCUCUUCCAUCUCUUCCAUAUAGUCUCUUAGACUCUACAAAUAGAGUGCUUAGUUCUUGUUCUUGAAUCGGUCCAUUUAAAAAAUACAUUCUAAAGCCAGUAAGAUAUUGCAAGUAUUUUUUUCAUGGAAAGCCACUUUCAAAUGCCUGUGUGCUAAAACUAACUCUCAACUCAGUGGAUUGUAGAGAGGCGAAAGCCCUUAGCCCGGAUGAGUAAUUUUCCAUUGUGACCUAACGUUAAAGAAAAUGAAGAUGUUGCUCUUCCUUUUGACUACACCUGUGCCUUCACAGAGGUCGCUUCUUCCUCAUUACUAUCUGUAAUUUGGCUGCCCAAGAAUUAAGGGUUAUAGAUGUGAAGGGGGGAUUUGAAGUUCAGCCAUAAUUACGAAAGCUCUGUGUUGCUGGGUUCGAGGCUCGGUGGCCUGUCCUCCAUACUCAGCUUCCUGUGUGCAGCCUCCAUUAUGUUGCUGCCAUGUCCUCUCCUGACCAAUCUCUAGAAAGGAGAGAGGCGGGGAGAUGGGACUCAGCCAGGAAAGAGCAAUUCUACAACGAAGAGAAGGACGGCCCAGAAGAAAUUGAGUCAUGCUUUUGUUUUAAACACUUUGCUUCAAUGUUCUGGAUCUGCCUUCAUUUCAUGACACUGAAGACAAGUUUAGAAGAGACACUAAAGAGCUUUAAUCUGAAGGUCAAAUAGAUGAGUAUCUGAACAUAUGUUUUUGUUUUGUGUGCUGGUAAGUUUUUGCGUCGCUGCUUUGUGCUCCCCGCAGAUCGCUCAUGCCCAGGAGCUCUCUUUGGAUCCUCGAAUGAAAGACACACAUUAGCUUAUUUUUAAAUGCCUUGGAUAACUCAAAGGCUGGACACUCCUAAAACUUCCCUGCUAAACCAGGCCCAACUGGAGCCAUUUUCCCGAACUCUCACAUGGCUAGUUGGCUCAAUCUCCUGCCACUCCUGUGUCCCAUGCUUCCCUGAGUCACGGGGAUUCACUCCUGUUCCUCUCUGCAUCCUAGCCUGAGCAACUCUAAGGGUCCCACCCCGUACCACUGGCCAUCGGCAUUUUCCUUAUUGAUCGAUCAAAAACCAGUUGGGGACCCUGUCCCCAAGUAGCCCUUUAGCCUUUGGACAUGUAGAUUCUCAAUUGGAUUAAAACAUUAGAACCAAUCUCCAACAGUUUUGGGUUUUUUGUUUGUUUAUUUUUGUAUUGAUUUGACUUAUGGCUCUGACCAAUCUAUAUAAGAUUUCUUAGCUCCCGUCUUCUUGAAAGGGUAGAUAAUAAUAGCAACCCUCUUGGAUCAUGAUCAGGAUCAAAUGAUACAAAGACUUUUUUAUUAAUUCCUUUAGACUGUCAUUACUGAAUGUUUUCUAUUAUAUAUCAAUUAUCAAUGUUGAAAAAUAAAACAAUGACUAUAGGUAGCUUGGGGACUUCAGUGUAUAUAUAUAUAUAUAUCUACCACUAGGAUAACACUCUUUCCCCUCCUUUGAGAUGACUCAGAGAACAAGUGUACAGAAUAUCCCUAAGGUCUCUGUCUACUAAGACUUAAGGCAGGAACACAUGAAAGACCCAAGUUUGUGACAUCUAUGCUGGAGAUUAUUCAUGGUCACUAGAAAUAGUUUCACCCUACACUUUUUGCUCCCCAUUGCCAUAAAAAGUUCCAGGAAUUAUGGGAUGGGCCCUGGCCAAGGAAUAAGUGAGCCCAGGUAUCAACAUCUUCUUGCACAUUAUAUGGAAGGCCAUGGCAUUUCUUAGUGUACGCAGAUGAGUAGCCCUGUUUAAUAUAGCCAGGAUGGGUGUGUUUUAGGGUUACACAUUACAAGUAUGCAGAUCCUGAAGCUUAUAAAUGGGACUAUAAAGUGGGCAGGGCUCUUGGGUCAUGGGUUGGACACAGAUGGAAAAGGCAAUACUCUUCCUGCCAUCCUCUGUGUGAUAUUUUCUCUGUGUGAAAUUUAAAUUCAGCCAUAAGUGCAGAUUUUAAUGAAGGUCACGGUAUAAAGUUAUUGGAAGUACAAAGUUAUUUGAAAAAGUCUGUUAUUAAGCCUAUACUAUAUGUGCAAUGAGCAGAACCCUGAAAACUGGCUCUUUCUCAGAAUAUGUGCCCAGGGUAUAGAAGCAACAUACACUUAACUAAUUUCAUGGAUGACUGUACUUACCUCCAAUGUUUCCCAUCUUAUAUAUUAUUUAUUGGAUAUUAUCUGACAGGUUACAGCUUCAGAUAAUCCCCACCCUCUUUCUUUUCCUUUCUUACCUCUCCUUCUACCCAAGACAGGCUCCUAUUUCAUAGCCCAGGCUAUCCUCCAACUCACUAUGCAACUCCAACUGGUCUUGAACUUAGGAUCUCCCUGUUUCAACCCAAGUGUGUAUUUACAGUUGUGUGUGCCAUCACACAUACC